Molecule: signal recognition particle RNA, 253 nt
Filed under: Xyrichtys novacula (pearly razorfish)
Lineage: Eukaryota; Metazoa; Chordata; Actinopteri; Labriformes; Labridae
Rfam family: Metazoan signal recognition particle RNA
About the family: The signal recognition particle (SRP) is a universally conserved ribonucleoprotein. It is involved in the co-translational targeting of proteins to membranes.
Source: RNAcentral
CGCGCCUGUAAUCCAAGUCCCCGGGAGGCAGAGUCUGGAGGAUCGUUUGAGUUCAGGAGCUCUGAGCUGCAGUGGACUGUGUUGAUCGGGUGUCCGCACUAAGUUCGGUAUCGAUAUGCUGAUCCUGGGGGAGCCCGGGACCAGCAGGUCGUCUAAGGAAGGGUGAACCGGCCCAGGUCGGAAACGGAGCAGGUCAAAGCCCUCGUGCCGCUUAGUAGUGGGUUCGCGCCCGUGAACAGACGCUGUAGUUCAG